AUGAUCUUCAUAAGCUUCCAUUGUGAACUGGAAAAUUUCUUUUUCAAUUUCUUUAAUUGCGAGCCCCUUGGGGUUACACCAGAUGUUGGAGAAGGAAGCUUGAAGGGAGUCUCUGUGGAUAAGCUUACUAGUUAUAAUUCUGCCCAAAAUGGAGGGUUUGAGGCAAGUAUAAUGUCUUGGAUUUCAUCUUCCUCAUAG
Non-coding RNA from Vicia faba (fava bean), 198 nucleotides. NCBI's taxonomy places the organism in Eukaryota, Viridiplantae, Streptophyta, Magnoliopsida, Fabales, Fabaceae. The record is from the annotation of a GenBank genome assembly.